AUGGCUACGCCAGGUAGGAGACCUGCGCAAACUCCCUGUGCUUACCGGGGGGCUAGAGAGACCGGGCAGGCACCGUGUUAUGCUGUGGUGCGCAUGGUGUCUCCAGUGCGGGUGCAUAGCCCGGUGCGGUACAUUCCAGCUCCGCGUAUCGGCCGGGCUAGAGUGAGCAUCGAGCCAAGUGCCAUGAAGCCGGCUCUACGCAGCUGGUCCCCAGUGCGUCUCCUUGGGCCGGCUUACAUGGCACCAGCCUUGCGCUCGGUGUCUCCGGUUCGCCUGCAUAGCCCAGUGCGGGCUAUUCCACCUCGCCGCACUGGCAGGGAGACCGUGAGCAUUCAACCAGGUAAGGUUGGGCAGGCUCGGUGCUCAAGAGCUCCAGUGCGCCUGCACGGUCCGGUCUAUCCAGUACCACCUCCACACCCCAGCCCUCCGGUAGCAGCUCCCCGCACCAGGCUUCCUGUGCGUGUUCUCGGCCCAGUACCACCAGUGCCAGCACCACGCAUCAGGCCUACAGUGCGCCUCGCAUGUCCAGCGCUGCCGGAGCCUUCCUCCUCUCCAGCGCUGCCGGAGUCUCCCGCCUGUUCAGAACUGCCAGUCUGCAAGGAGCUGCCAGUCUGCAAGGAGCUGCCAGUCUGCAAGGAGCUGCCAGUCUGCAUAGAGCUGCCAGAGCUGCCAGUCUGCAAGGAGCUGCCAGUCUGCAAGGAGCUGCCAGUCUUCAAGGAGCUGCCAGUCUGCAAGGAGCUGCCAGUCUGCAUAGAGCUGCCAGUCUGCAGGAUGCCGCCAGUCUGCAAGGAGCCGCCAGAGCUGCCAGUCUGCAAGGAGCUGCCAGAGCUGCCAGUCUGCAAGGAGCCACCAGAGCUGCCAGUCUGCAAGGAGCCGCCAGAGCUGCCAGUCUGCAAGGAGCCGCCAGAGCUGCCAGUCUGCAAGGAGCCGCCAGAGCUGCCAGUCUGCAAGGAGCCGCCAGAGCAGCCAGUCUGCAAGGAGCCGCCAGAGCAGCCAGUCAGCAUGGAGCAGCCAGUCAGCAUGGAGCAGCCAGUCAGCAUGGAGCAGCCAGAGCAGCCAGUCAGCAUGGAGCAGCCGGUCAGCAUGGAGCAGCCAGUCAGCAUGGAGCAGCCAGUCAGCAUGGAGCAGCCAGUCAGCAUGGAGCUUCCAGAUCUGCCAGUCGACCAGACUCUUCCAGAUCUGCCAGUCGACCAGACUCUUCCAGAUCUGCCAGUCGACCAGACUCUUCCAGAUCUGCCAGUCGACCAGACUCUUCCAGAUCUGCCAGUCGACCAGACUCUUCCAGAUCUGCCAGUCAGCCAGGGGUCGCCAGUCAGCCAGGAGCUGCCGCCCCUCUGUCCAGAGCUUCCGCCCCUCUGUCCCGAGCUGCCAUCCCUCUGUCCAUUGAGAAGAGUUGCCAUGGUGAGGAGGCCACGGAAGAGGAUAAGGUGGGGGAAGACUAAGGUGAAGUGGGGGCCACGUCCAGCACCAGAGCCGCCACCGCGGACAGAUGCCCACCCAGACCCUCCCCUAUAG
Molecule: long non-coding RNA, 1515 nt
Filed under: Oncorhynchus mykiss (rainbow trout)
Lineage: Eukaryota; Metazoa; Chordata; Actinopteri; Salmoniformes; Salmonidae
Description: lncRNA (ENSOMYG00000072255.1)
Source: RNAcentral